GUUGACCUCGAAUCAGGUAGGGAUACCCGCUGAACUUAAGCAUAUCAAUAAGCGGAGGAAAAGAAACCAACCGGGAUUACCCUAGUAACGGCGAGUGAAGCGGUAACAGCUCAAAUUUGAAAUCUGGCUCCCUGCGGAGUCCGAGUUGUAAUUUGUAGAAGAUGCUUUGGGUGCUCGGCCCGGUCUAAGUUCCUUGGAACAGGACGUCGUAGAGGGUGAGAAUCCCGUAUGCGGCCGGGGUGGGUGCUCGUGUAAAGCUCUUUCGACGAGUCGAGUUGUUUGGGAAUGCAGCUCAAAAUGGGUGGUAAAUUUCAUCUAAAGCUAAAUAUGGGCCAGAGACCGAUAGCGCACAAGUAGAGUGAUCGAAAGAUGAAAAGCACUUUGGAAAGAGAGUUAAACAGUACGUGAAAUUGUUGAAAGGGAAGCGCUUGCAACCAGACUUGGGCGUCGCUGAUCAUCCAAAGUUUUCUUUGGUGCACUNGACGACGUACAGGCCAGCAUCGGUUGGGGUGGUGGGAGAAAGGUUGUAGGAACGUAGCUCUUUUCGGGGAGUGUUAUAGCCUGCGACGCAAUGCCGCCUACCCUGACCGAGGACCGCGCUUCGGCUAGGAUGCUGGCGUAAUGGUUGUAAGCGACCCGUCUUGAAACACGGACCAAGGAGUCUAACAUCUAUGCGAGUGUUUGGGUGCGAAACCCAUGCGCGAAAUGAAAGUGAACGUAGGUGAGAACCCUUCGAGGGGGCAUCAUCGACCGAUC
Molecule: ribosomal RNA, 756 nt
Filed under: Phyllactinia fraxini
Lineage: Eukaryota; Fungi; Ascomycota; Leotiomycetes; Helotiales; Erysiphaceae
Description: eukaryotic LSU rRNA
Rfam family: Eukaryotic large subunit ribosomal RNA
Source: RNAcentral